This 1434-nucleotide ribosomal RNA is filed under the name metagenome. RNAcentral describes it as "bacterial SSU rRNA". It matches the Rfam family "Archaeal small subunit ribosomal RNA". The record is from RNAcentral.
ACUGCUAUUUGGGUGAGGAUAAGCCAUGCGAGUUGGAUGGGAUACCUAAAAUUCCCAUAGCAAACUGCUUAGUAACACAUGAUCAACUUACCCUAUGGAGAAAAAUAACCUCGGGAAACUGAGGAUAAUGUUUCAUAGUUGAAUAGGCUUGGAAAAGUUUUUCAAUGAAAGGAAUAAGAUAAAUGGAUCUUAUUUGCCAUAGGAUAGGAUCGUGGUCGAUUAUGGUAGUUGGUGAGAUAACGGCUCACCAAGCCGAUAAUCGAUAGGGGCCGUGAGAGCGGGAGCCCCAAGAUGGGUACUGAGACAGCGACCCAGGCCUUACGGGGCGCAGCAGGCGCGAGACCUCCGCAAUACACGAAAGUGUGACGGGGUUACCCAAAGUGUUCUCUUAAGAACUGUGGCAGGUGAGUAAUGUCCCCUGCUAGAAAGGAGAGGGCAAGGCUGGUGCCAGCCGCCGCGGUAAAACCAGCUCUUCAAGUGGUCGGGAUAAUUAUUGGGCUUAAAGUGUCCGUAGCCGGUUUAGUAAGUUCCUGGUAAAAUCGGGUAGCUUAACUAUCUGCAUGCUAGGAAUACUGCUAUACUAGAGGGCGGGAGAGGUCUGAGGUACUACAGGGGUAGGGGUGAAAUCUUAUAAUCCUUGUAGGACCACCAGUGGCGAAGGCGUCAGACUGGAACGCGCCUGACGGUGAGGGACGAAAGCCAGGGGAGCGAACCGGAUUAGAUACCCGGGUAGUCCUGGCCGUAAACGAUGCAUACUAGGUGAUGGUACGGCCAUGAGCCGUAUCAGUGCCGUAGGGAAACCGUUAAGUGUGCCGCCUGGGAAGUACGGUCGCAAGGCUAAAACUUAAAGGAAUUGGCGGGGGAGCACCACAAGGGGUGAAGCCUGCGGUUCAAUUGGACCCAACGCCGGGAAACUUACCAGGGGAGACAGCAGAAUGAGGGUCAGGUUGACGACCUUACCUGAUGAGCUGAGAGGAGGUGCAUGGCCGUCGCCAGUUCGUGCUGUGAGGUAUCCUGUUAAGUCAGGCAACGAACGAGAUCCGCACCUUUAUUUGCCAACAAGAAGUUACGACUUCGUUGGGAACACUAAAGGGACCGCCGUCGAUAAGACGGAGGAAGGAGCGGGCAAAGGCAGGUCAGUAUGACCCGAAACCCCUGGGCUACACGCGGGCUGCAAUGGUAUGAACAAUGGGCUGUAACUCCGAAAGGAGAAACCAAUCCCGAAAUCAUAUCACAGUGGGGAUUGUUGGCUGUAACCUGCCGACAUGAACGUGGAAUCCCUAGUAAUCGUGUGUCAUCAUCGCACGGUGAAUACGUCUCUGCUCCUUGCACACACCGCCCGUCGCUCCAUCCGAGUGUACUAAAAAUGAGGUUUGGUCAGACUGGUCAUAUCGAGUUUCUAGUAUGCGAGGAGGGAGAAGUCGUAACAAGGUA